RNAcentral lists this small RNA (295 nucleotides) under Prolemur simus (greater bamboo lemur). RNAcentral's name for it is "7SK RNA (ENSPSMG00000017363.1)". It matches the Rfam family "7SK RNA". Rfam says of the family: 7SK was discovered as an abundant small nuclear RNA in the mid-70s but a possible function has only recently been suggested. Two independent studies have found that 7SK RNA binds the CDK9/cyclin T complex (known as elongation factor P-TEFb). The record is from RNAcentral. Lineage: Eukaryota; Metazoa; Chordata; Mammalia; Primates; Lemuridae.
GACACAGGGUCAAUGUAGCUGCCACUUUUGUCACUGCAUUGCUGAUUGCCAGUCAGGUUCGCUGGAUAGAUCUGCCCUUUCUCCCUCACGGCCCAGAUGGCCUGCAGCUGCGUGCUGGGUUUGAGAGGACCAUCUUUCCAGGUAGGGAAGAUUCUUCUUCGUGAUGGGUACACACGUGGCAGGGGCCCCCAUCAGAAAUUUCAAAUAAGCUCUAAAGGUCCAUUCAUAGCAUAAUGAGAAGUGAAAUUGAAUCCUACUCUGAGAGUUGAGCUUCGGGUCUUGAGUUGCAUUAAGU